RNA transcript from Eleginops maclovinus (Patagonian blennie), 4066 nucleotides. It is a transcript of the gene named host cell factor C2, with no coding region annotated. The record is from RefSeq and is a predicted model, not a curated record. NCBI's taxonomy places the organism in Eukaryota, Metazoa, Chordata, Actinopteri, Perciformes, Eleginopidae. The transcript has 17 exons.
GUGUAUCAAAUACUUGUUCUCCCCACUGUAAGUGAGACAUAUCUGUUUGAACCAACUCUGCACUAUGGACUAUGCUUUUUAUCCUGUGCAUGUCAGUUGUGGGCUCAAAGGCCAUGUCAACAUCUGAUGUGUCCAUCAUAUUUUAAAAUUGACAGGAAAACAUUGCACCUUUAACAUUUAAAAACAAAAAAGACACAUUUAAAUACAAUGGUCGAUUCAAAUGACCCAAGUUUAGUGGUCAAGCUCCAUCUUGUAUCCUUUCUUUUGUAAGUCUUUGCAUACACAUCAUUUUAUCUUUGCACUUGUUCUGCAUUGUUAUUUCCCAAGUGUAACCAAGAUAACCCUGGUGAUAUCACCAGAGUUAUCUAAUGUAGUCAGUAAAAAAGUUAUCUCUUCAAUAAAAUGCCGUUUUAUCUUUUUUCCUGUAUUUAUUCAACCAACUAGUCUGUAGUAGUAUAAUCACCUUACAUGCCUUUAGAUUUUGCUAUCCGGUAAAUAAGGCAGAGUGAGACGUUACCUUUUCCUAUCUGAUUGAAUAUCCCGGGGCUUCCUUCGCCCCGCCCACGUCUUUGAAACGUCAACAGCGCCAAACUUCGGGCUCCCAACGGGGGAAAAUGAACACUGAUGCAGAGGAGCCGCAAUGGAGGAAAGUUCAUUCAGUUGCAGGAGUGAUACCGCGGUCCAGACACGGACAUCGAGCAGUUGCAAUACGGGAGCUGAUAGUUGUGUUCGGGGGUGGAAACGAAGGGAUAGCGGAGGACCUCCAUGUUUACAACACUGUCUCAAAGCAGUGGUUCCUGCCUGCAGUGAGGGGGGACAUCCCCCCCGGCUGUGCUGCCCAUGGCUUUGUCUGUGAUGGGACUCGGAUUCUGGUCUUUGGGGGCAUGGUGGAGUUUGGGAAAUACACCAACAGCCUUUAUGAACUGCAGGCUAGUCGCUGGCUGUGGAAGAAGCUGAAGCCCAGGGCCCCCAGGAACGGCCUGCCCCCCUGUCCCCGGAUCGGACACAGCCUCACUGUUGUGGGGAAUAAGUGUUACCUGUUUGGAGGGCUGGCCAAUGAUAGUGAAGACACCAACGGCAAUGUGCCAAGAUACAUGGGGGACUUCUAUGAGCUGGAGCUGCAGUCUCUAACGGGAGUAAGAGGUUGGAGCAUUCCUGAGACAAAGGGUGGUGGUCCCUCAGCGCGAGAGUCCCACACGGCGGUCGCCUACACUGGGCUCGGCUCCAUGAAGAUCUACAUCUUUGGAGGGAUGCAAGGAUCCCGGUUAGGCGACCUGUGGCAGCUUGACCUUGACACAAUGUCUUGGUCGACGCCUGAAACCAGAGGUUCCACACCACUUCCCAGGAGCCUUCACUCUGCCAGUGUUAUUGGAAACAAGAUGUUUGUGUUUGGAGGCUGGGUUCCUGCCCCAGAGCCCUACCAGAACACUGCGGUAGAACCUGAGUGGAUCUGCAGUGACUCCUUAAGUGUGCUCAACUUAGACACUAUGAGCUGGCAGGAUCUUGGUCCAGAGCAACAAGACAAUGCUGAAUCCCAGCUGCACAUUCAGGGGCCACAGAGUGACGAUCCGUACGCCUGUCGGCCCAGAGCCCGGGCCGGACACUGUGCUGCCAGCGUGGGGUCCAGGCUCUACUUCUGGAGCGGCCGUGAUGGGUACCGCAAGAGCUGGAACUACCAGGUCUGCUGUAAGGACCUGUGGUACCUGGAGACAGAGCGACCAGCUGCCCCAGAGGCCCCCUUACUCAUCAAGUCUACUGUCAGCAUGCUACAUGUGGCGUGGCGCCCCCUGGCAGCAGCAGACUGCUACAUCCUUCAGAUCCAGCCUGCACCCCCACCUGCCAAAGCAGUCCCUCCCACUGGAACAGAGGGACUGGACCGGAAGGCUGAGGGACUGUCUACAGAUGUACAGUCCCUUCGACCUGCAGCUGGAGGAACCACUAAUAAAGAACAGGAAACGUCAGCACAGGUUGGUUCACAACAACAGGAGUCCUCUGAGAGCAGAGCAGAUGCAGACAGCAGUGCCGGCAGGGACCCGGAGAAGGACUGCGACACAAAGCACUGCAGUGGUGCAGCGGACACAUCAGCAGAGGUCAGCAGCCCAGCUCAGCAGCCCUCAGAGAAACCGCCAGUUUCAGGGAACAACACCUCAGAUCUCUCCCGUCAGGUCCAGCAGAGCCCAGAGGAGGCAGUGUGGUAUGAUGUCGGUGUGUUCAGAACACUGUUCUGUGAGGCCACUCAUUACUAUCUACCUGCAGACAGCGAGCAGACGCCUGCAGCCAGCAGCAGCCGGCCACCAAACACUAAGGAGCCCUCCCUCCAGAAGAAGUGUCCUGGGCCUCAGGACUACCAGAGCAGAGAGAAGCAGGAGCUGGCUCCAGGGCAGACCUACAGGUUCAGAGUUGCAGGCAUCAACUGCUUUGGCCAGGGAGACCUCAGCCCGGUCAGCGAGUUCAAGACCUGCCUGCCGGGUUUCCCCGGAGCACCCUCUGCUGUCAGGAUCACUAAGGCCAACGAUUCAGUCCACAUCACGUGGGACGCCCCCCCCUCCCCAUCAGGCCGGAUCCUGGAGUACUCCAUGUACAUGGCAGUGAGGAAGAGCCGCUCGACCAGCUCUGAGCGUCCGGGUCAGAUGGCCUUCAUCAGGAUAUACCGCGGCACCAAGACAUCCUGCUCGGUCAGCUCCACCCACCUGGAGAAUGCACAGAUCGACUGCUCCGCCUCCAACCGGCCAGCGGUGGUCUUCCGCAUAGCUGCUAAGAACGAGCAGGGCUACGGCCCCGCCACGCAGAUCCGCUGGAUCCAAGGUGCAGGAUCCCAUUAAAUUGCGAGGGUCUGCCUCCAAAGUGGACAUCAAUGCUGAGGCUGACCUGGAUGCUGCUGACAGCUCCAGCUGAGUGUGAGGACCAAUGACACCCGUUUUUGGAAAGACUGUAUGUUUACUCAGGAAAUUGGCGAUUGUACGUCACUGCGUUGUUGUAUAUUUCCUAAACUGUUUUGUUAAUUUAUUUUGUAUGUAUUUAAUUAUUCCCUGUAAAUACAUUUUCAUAGGAAGUUUGACCACUUGGGUAUUUUAGUUAAAGAAUUAUUUUGUAAUAAGAAAUAAGAUGUUAACCCAACCAAAAGAGUAAAAGAUUUAAAACUGACAGCAUCAGCUGUACAUCGGAAAGAACAUCUUGUUGUUAUUUAGCCCUGGUUUUUUAAUCGGAUCAUUUUCUAUGAUUCAGGUUGAGUUUAAGAUCUUAUAAGAUCUGUUAACAUGUAUUCAUCACCACCACCACCACCAGAAUGUUAAGGAUGUUUUUUCUACGUCUGUUGUAAAUUUAAAAAAUGACAUUGACUGCAGCUAAAGAGCAGAGCACAACUUAUGUUGCUGGUUUUAAUUAAAGGUAUACAAAAUGUCACAUUUCAUGUCAGAGAUUUGUAAUUAACCUUUUUUGUCUUUGGCUUGACCAACUCGUUUUUUAGUUGGCACAAAGUAUCAAUAUUAUUUUCCUCCCUGCCCUUCUCCAUCAGCCCGCAUUUUGGAUUAUUACAGGCCUCUCCUCCGGACCUCACAUUAUUGAGCAGUGCUUUAUCUCUUCAUGUUAGUUGCAAAAAAAGUAUUCCUUUCUUGUACUUUCAUAAAGGACCAUUUCCCUUACUUAUUUAACACGUUUUCUGAUGAAAACAACUAGAUUUAAAGUUGAGACUGAAGGACAUGGUCAGAACAUGCACAUAACACAUUUUCCACCUUUUAACAUUCCUUGGUUAGGCUGCAGACUUAUUAGCAACCUUAAGAGGUGAAUUGUGUUGGAGGUAAACUUGUAUCAAUCUUGUCCAUAAAAUGAAAUUGGAUGAUGUUUUAGCCACAGAUAAUCGUUUUAAAAGUAGUUUCUGUAAGCAGCUGAGUGUGUUUGAAGCGAGGACAAAUACAUUGUAAAGUUGAAAAAUAUGUCUUGGAAUAAGUCUUUUUUAAGCAGUAACCAAAAGUUUUACAUGCAGUUUUAGAUAGUAUUAUGCUGUUUAUUACUGAGGAGGGUGCAGGAUGCACAGUUUUUGUGUACAAUAAAUACGAGUUAAAAUUAA